UCUUUUUAAAGAGGGUUUGGCAUUUGGAAAGGCAGCUGGGACAAAACAAACGUUAGAUGAGGGAAACUUCUUUUUAAGGAUGUAUUCUUUCAGUUAUCUGUAGAGAGCUGUGAGAGAUCAGUGUGGCAGUCCAUCAGCUGUAUGCAGGGAGGCUCCAGCAGUGUACCAAUACCUUUGGCAGGAAUUGGUUUUAGUAGCAAAUUACUGGUUUGUGGCAUGAGCUGCUGCUUUGAACUGACAGGAUGAUUAAACUUGUUGCUCCUUUCUGUGAGACAGCACAUGCCCAGCGCACUAGCCAGAAAGCCUUGUAAUGCUUCAAAGCAGUUUAGAUACUGAUACCAUCAAAGCUUAGCUGAAAAGGAUCCUGCACAGCCAUGUCCAUGCAGUCUGUGCAGGUGCACUGCCAGCAGAACAGAUUCCAACUGAUGCAUUUAAAUCCGAUGGAGAUGACCAUGGAAGGAUCUCUGCUGCAAUGAGAGUGCUUUUUAUGUCCACUGCCAGUGAAGCACCCUGUGCCAAGCUGGUGCAUGCAAGGGGAUGAGUGAGAUCAAGUGCGGAUGCUGCCCAAGCAUUCUGGGAGACAUGGUUCCUGCCCUGAAGAACUGAUGGUCUCGGGGGAUACUGCAAGGAACAGUCAAGGAGUAGCAUCACCUGUUUAAUAGUGAUCAGUUCCUUCACCCUUCUGAGGCUGGUUCUUUGUUCCUGUGGAUGCCUGUUCCAGAGCUGCUGCCACCUUCUGAGAAGGGGCAUGGACCACACAGUGGCAGAUUUUCUCUGGAGGGGCUGCCUGGGAGUAGCUGACAUUCCUGGGGACUGCCAGUGAUAGAUUUACUUUUUCUAAGGUGCAGAUAUUGGUGGCAGAGAGUCUGUUUUGAUGCUUCCUGGACCCAUGCCACCUUUGUGAGACCACCUUCCACAGAGGCUGCAAGGCAUUUGGGAAGCUGCAAAUCUAAAGCCGCCACAAUGAGUUCAGUUUGCAUGUAGAAGGAAUUGCUGGCCUAGGAGGUUUAUCUGCAGCUUUUGGAAAUCCCAGGCCUGUUCCUCUUCCUCUUCAGGCAGCAUCCUGCUGAUGUCUGCUCUGUAGGACUGGUGGCUCUUGCAGAUUGCCAAGGCCGGUUGUUGGUGGCAGAUGCUGUGCCCAAGCUGUGGCUGGCAGUGGGUGCUGGGGAAGGACAGGGUGAUGGUCAGGCCCCAAGGCAAGUUUGCCUGUGAGGGAAGGAUUUGGGUGCAUGUCCUCAGGAGCCGCUUACUGGCAGACCAUUCUUAGGGAAUUAACCUUGGUGCAGACAGAAAAGCCAUGAGUGUAACUGUCUUGCUGUUAAAGGAGGGCUCACCUAGGUGAAUGCCUUGCCAUGGCCCCAGGGUGGGAGGAGAGAGCUUGGUGAGGCCAGGCAGCCCCAACACUUCUGCAGGCAUCUCUUGGGAAUGCUUGUGUUGUGGUAUGCAGGCUCCAUAACUUUAAGCAUGCUUUUGAGAGGAAGAGUUCUGUGACAAGGACUGAAAUGUCACCCUGACUGUUCAGUUCUGGGAGCUGCACUUCUCUGACCACAAGCAUUUGCUAGGGCCAGGACUGGUAGGCAUGUGGCAGCUGAUGUCCUGGCGUUCCUCCUGCUUUCCUUAGUGCCCUCAUUAGUCUGGGAGGCUGGAGCCUGGCAGUUCUCUGUCUCUUUGCACCUUUUAGCUUUGCUCCUAAGGAUUGGUAUGUGCUGGGCUGUCUGUUUAUUGGCUGGAGUUCGCUAAUGGAGGUAUAAGCAUUCUGGAUUCUUUGUAGAACUUUGUUUGCAAAUGUCCUGGAAUACAGGUGCAAAUGGCUGUAAGGAAAAUGCCUUUUAUCAUUCAAGAUAAAGAACAUCCUAAAGCCUUGGAGACGUCACUUCAUUCAGGAAUUAAAUUGCAAGAGCCAUCUGGUGUCACAUAAGUUUCAUUUAAUAGGUCAUUCACUUAAAUAAAGUUUCUGUAGAAAUCAAUAUCUCCUUCUCUUGCAAUUGACAGCUCAAGACAUUGAAAAUGGCAUUUUUCACAUAAGAUUUAUUUAAUUUUAGUAAGAAGAAUCCCUCCCACGCCCUCUACUUGGUCUAGGCAGCUCUGGUACAAGGUUAAGAGUCUGCUGAGGUGGAAACCUGCCCUGUCCUUUCCCACAGGUAUAACAUGAAGUCAUUUCAGCACCGGCUUGCCAAUCUGAUGUGCAGUCAAGACGACAUUUUCACAGGGCUGUAUCAGAUGUCAGUUCACAGCUCACUGGAGGAAACAGGGACAAGUGCAUUCUCUCUUAUGCAUGAAUUUGGCAGGGCAGAAUUACUCACUAUAUAGCAGAACUGGACUUUCUGUAGAGGCAGGUAUCUGUGUGCUAUUGUGUGCUAUGAAGAGUGGAGACUUCAAAAAGGAUACUCCUGUGUCCAGGGCAAGUGCAUCUUAUAUCUUCAGAACCCCUAAU
Molecule: long non-coding RNA, 2434 nt
Organism: Anas platyrhynchos (mallard)
Lineage: Eukaryota; Metazoa; Chordata; Aves; Anseriformes; Anatidae
Source: RefSeq, a predicted model, not a curated record